RNAcentral lists this ribosomal RNA (253 nucleotides) under uncultured bacterium. RNAcentral's name for it is "partial 16S ribosomal RNA". It matches the Rfam family "Bacterial small subunit ribosomal RNA", at positions 524 to 776 of the family's 1533-position model. The record is from RNAcentral.
UACGGGGGGGGCAAGCGUUGUUCGGAAUUACUGGGCGUAAAGGGCUCGUAGGUGGCCAACUAAGUCAGACGUAAAAUCCCUCGGCUUAACCGGGGAACUGCGUCUGAUACUGGAUGGCUUGAGUUCGGGAGAGGGAUGCGGAAUUCCAGGUGUAGCGGUGAAAUGCGUAGAUAUCGUAAGGAAGACCAGUGGCGAAGGCGGGUCUCUGGACAGUUCCUGACGCUGAGGCACGAAGGUCAGGGGAGCAAACGGG